This 253-nucleotide ribosomal RNA is filed under the name uncultured bacterium. Its description in RNAcentral is "partial 16S ribosomal RNA". It matches the Rfam family "Bacterial small subunit ribosomal RNA", at positions 524 to 776 of the family's 1533-position model. The record is from RNAcentral.
GACAGAGGGUGCAAGCGUUGUUCGGAAUCAUUGGGCGUAAAGGGCGCGUAGGCGGCUCUGUAAGUCGGAUGUGAAAGCCCAGGGCUCAACCUUGGAAGUGCAUCCGAAACUACGGAACUAGAGUCCCGGAGAGGGUGGUGGAAUUCCCAGUGUAGAGGUGAAAUUCGUAGAUAUUGGGAGGAACACCGGUGGCGAAGGCGACCGCCUGGACGGAGACUGACGCUGAGGCGCGAGAGCGUGGGGAGCAAACAGG